Molecule: long non-coding RNA, 1461 nt
Organism: Mauremys reevesii (Reeves's turtle)
Lineage: Eukaryota; Metazoa; Chordata; Testudines; Geoemydidae
Exons: 2
Source: RefSeq, a predicted model, not a curated record
UCUCCUCGUAGGGGUGCCAGCUGACAUCACGCACACAGGCCUUGUGAUUGGUCAGUUUCUUGAUGAUCUGCCCACUCAGGAGGUCAUACACUGGGGCAAAGCAGCAAGAAUGAGAUUUCCCCCUCUCCAGCCCACUACAAUGGGCUGGCACUCAGCUAACGAGGCGAAAGGGGACAGGUCGGCAGGGCUGGGGACGCUGCUCCCGGUCUGGGGGUGAGCACUUCUGCGGUCACCCCGCAGUACCGAAGCGCGUGGAAACAGGGAAGAGAUGGGAGCUCAGGGAUGCCUCUGUUGCUGGAGUUAACAUUGGAAGAUCAAACUGAAAGGGCCGCGGGCUGAAAGAUUUCACAGCCGCUCAGGGAACGACGAGCCAAACACCUGCGGGAGCUGCGUCACCCCUGCCCUCGAUGGCGCUUUUUAAUCAAACAGCACAACCGGCCACUCCCGAAGAAAGGGCAGCGGGGGUGGGGCCACUUGGCUUGAAAGUGGGAUUUCUGGCGAGCCCAAACUCCCGGAAGCUGGGCCCCAGCUGGUUUACUGCGGCCUCGGCCGCCAACGGGAGGCGUAGCUUAGCAGGAAACAAAAAGAUGCAGCUGAACUUUAGCCGGAAUUAUGGAGAGCAGAUUCGAGUCUGAGGUGAAACUCACAAGCCUGGUUUGCCGACCACGACGUGGCGAACCGACACCAUGGGACUCCCCCUCUUCUGUAUCUCAGCUGGGGUUGGGUUUCCCCGGGGAACUCCAAAGAGGUGGAACGAAUUGCUAGGAUCAGCCAGCGCCUGGCACGGCCUCUGAACAGGGGACAGAGCAUUUGGCAGGAAUCUUACAGGGGAGCCAGGUUUUCAGGCUAAAUGUCCUGCUCUUGAAAGGAUCGUCCAGUCAACAGAGUGAAAGCGGGUGACGAAGUUUUUACUGCUUUGUAACUUCAGUGCCACCGUAGAAGGUGCUGGGAAGAAGGCAAACUAGCCCAAUCUGAGCUUGGCUUGAGGAGAGGAAUUCAGUCUCCACUCAUAUGCAGAUCGAAGAUCAACUGCAUUACGGGACGGCAGCAGCCACUGAACUCUGAACCCUUCCAGCCACGGCUGGAGAAGGAGCAGGAUGGUUUGGGAGCUGCCAAGUCGAACGCUGUGACCUUCGCACCGGCCGCUGGAAGGCAUCAGUGCCAAAAUGAGAACAUGGGGUCUGAAAGCUGUAGUGGACAAGAGGUGAAAUCGCCAGAAAGAGCCGCUGACGUUCGCAGCUAGAGAGAAAAGACGCCCAGCGGUGACGAUAUCUGAGCACCUACUUAGUGUCUAAACCAACUACCGGACGGGUGAACGCGUCCCCGGCAUCUCCUUAUGUCUGGCACACGCCACAGAUUUUUUUCUGUGCUUUCUUUGAAGCUAAAAAAUGCAGAAUCUGUGACGCCAAAACUUUUUGCUAAUUUGAGCAGGUUUCACCAGAUUGUUUGGGUUGGGAGGGG